UACGAAGGGGGCUAGCGUUGCUCGGAAUCACUGGGCGUAAAGGGUGCGUAGGCGGUGGAGUAAGUCGGAUGUGAAAUACCUUAGCUCAACUAAGGAACUGCACUCGAUACUACUUUGCUAGAGUAAGACAGAGGUGAGUGGAACUGAGGGUGGAGCGGUGAAAUGCGUUGAUAUCCUCAGGAACACCGGUGGCGAAGGCGACUCACUGGGUCUUUACUGACGCUGAUGCACGAAAGCUAGGGUAGCAAACGGG
RNAcentral lists this ribosomal RNA (253 nucleotides) under uncultured bacterium. RNAcentral's name for it is "partial 16S ribosomal RNA". It matches the Rfam family "Bacterial small subunit ribosomal RNA", at positions 524 to 776 of the family's 1533-position model. The record is from RNAcentral.